Molecule: long non-coding RNA, 300 nt
Filed under: Carica papaya (papaya)
Lineage: Eukaryota; Viridiplantae; Streptophyta; Magnoliopsida; Brassicales; Caricaceae
Description: long non-coding RNA (CPAP_LNC000077)
Source: RNAcentral
CCAAUAAUUUUGCUCCACUCUAAAUAAUUUGUGUCAUCUAAUUUAUACUCAUUAAUCUUUGACCUAGUCAGGACUAUCUCACUCACCAAAAACUUAUUAUCAUUCAUUCUUAAUUCGAGAAUAUCCACAAAUUAUCACUCAAAAAUACUCAAAUAUAGCAGCUAGAGACACACCAAAAACACUGCAAAUAUAUCAAGAAAUUAGAGAAAAUAGAGCAUCUCUUCACGUACAAGUAUCAACAAUCCUAUCAGAACCUCAAUAUCAACCACUGGAGAACCUGCGCCGCUGCACACAUCGCCG